UGCGUAGGCGGGUCUGGUAAGUCAGAUGUGAAAUUCCUGGGCUCAACCGAGGAACUGCAUUUGAUACUGCCAGACUAGAGUACUGGAGAGGAGACUGGAAUUCACGGUGUAGCAGUGAAAUGCGUAGAUAUCGUGAGGAAGGCCAGUGGCGAAGGCGAGUCUCUGGACAGUAACUGACGCUGAGGCACGAAGGCCAGGGGAGCAAACG
RNAcentral lists this ribosomal RNA (208 nucleotides) under uncultured bacterium. RNAcentral's name for it is "partial 16S ribosomal RNA". It matches the Rfam family "Bacterial small subunit ribosomal RNA", at positions 568 to 774 of the family's 1533-position model. The record is from RNAcentral.